RNAcentral lists this ribosomal RNA (429 nucleotides) under Chloroflexota bacterium. RNAcentral describes it as "Chloroflexi bacterium partial 16S ribosomal RNA". It matches the Rfam family "Bacterial small subunit ribosomal RNA", at positions 355 to 776 of the family's 1533-position model. Lineage: Bacteria; Bacillati; Chloroflexota. The record is from RNAcentral.
UGGGGAAUAUUGCACAAUGGGCGCAAGCCUGAUGCAGCCAUGCCGCGUGUGUGAAGAAGGCCUUCGGGUUGUAAAGCACUUUCAGCGGGGAGGAAGGCGUUAAGGUUAAUAACCUUGGCGAUUGACGUUACCCGCAGAAGAAGCACCGGCUAACUCCGUGCCAGCAGCCGCAGUAAUACGGAGGGUGCAAGCGUUAAUCGGAAUUACUGGGCGUAAAGCGCACGCAGGCGGUUUGUUAAGUCAGAUGUGAAAUCCCCGGGCUCAACCUGGGAACUGCAUCUGAUACUGGCAAGCUUGAGUCUCGUAGAGGGGGGUAGAAUUCCAGGUGUAGCGGUGAAAUGCGUAGAGAUCUGGAGGAAUACCGGUGGCGAAGGCGGCCCCCUGGACGAAGACUGACGCUCAGGUGCGAAAGCGUGGGGAGCAAACAGG